Molecule: transfer RNA, 72 nt
Filed under: Camelus bactrianus (Bactrian camel)
Lineage: Eukaryota; Metazoa; Chordata; Mammalia; Artiodactyla; Camelidae
Also listed under: 1 other name
Rfam family: tRNA
About the family: Transfer RNA (tRNA) molecules are approximately 80 nucleotides in length. Their secondary structure includes four short double-helical elements and three loops (D, anti-codon, and T loops).
Source: Rfam by way of RNAcentral
GAGGGUAUAGCUUAGUGGUAGAGUGUGUAUUUAGCGUGCACGAGGUCCUGGGUUAAAUCCCCAAUACCUUCA